RNAcentral lists this ribosomal RNA (310 nucleotides) under uncultured bacterium. RNAcentral's name for it is "bacterial SSU rRNA". It matches the Rfam family "Bacterial small subunit ribosomal RNA", at positions 1089 to 1401 of the family's 1533-position model. The record is from RNAcentral.
GCAACGAGCGCAACCCUCGUCCUUAGUUGCCAUCAUUGAGUUGGGCACUCUAAGGAAACCGCCGGUGAUAAGCCGGAGGAAGGUGGGGAUGACGUCAAGUCCUCAUGGCCCUUACAGGCUGGGCUACACACGUGCUACAAUGGCGGUGACAGUGGGCAGCAAGCACGCGAGUGUGAGCUAAUCUCCAAAAGCCGUCUCAGUUCGGAUUGUUCUCUGCAACUCGAGAGCAUGAAGGCGGAAUCGCUAGUAAUCGCGGAUCAGCAUGCCGCGGUGAAUACGUUCCCAGGCCUUGUACACACCGCCCGUUAAA